RNAcentral lists this long non-coding RNA (3166 nucleotides) under Capsicum annuum. Its description in RNAcentral is "long non-coding RNA (CANN_LNC016435)". The record is from RNAcentral. Lineage: Eukaryota; Viridiplantae; Streptophyta; Magnoliopsida; Solanales; Solanaceae.
UUCACUCUCUCUCUCUUUAGACUGUUCCUUUGUGUUUGAGUUCUUGAUCAUGAGCAGCUAGCCACCCCUUUGCCGUCAACUCGUGAUGGCAAAGGGGUGGCACGCGCGUAGCCCAAGACUCACUAUUGUUGUCUGGAGGGAGCUGCUGGUGAUUUUGUCUACUUUUAUCUUUGUCCCAAGGUAAGGAAAUUGCCAUUUUAUUCAAUUUUAUGGUGAUUUUCUAGUUAUGAAUAGGGCAACUUGUAUCCUUUGGCAUUUUCACUUCCCUUUGAGUACUCUCUUAAUGAGCUCUUGGAAGUUUUUAACUAUAGUAAAACAAUAAUUCAAGUAGGAUUUGUGUAGUCCUAUUUGUACUUUGUUGAACAUGUUUGGUGUAUUAAUAAAUGUUGUGUAGUACUUUGGGAAGAACUAGUUGAACAUGUAUUACUAGUAUAUAUUUGGCCAGUACUGGCUAUAAUAAUUAAAGUAUUGUUUUCUGUUAAUGUUUGAAGAGUGUUUAUUAUACAUUGUUGUUGACUUCGUACAUCAUGUUUUUGCGUAUAGAUGUUGCAAUAUAAUAUAAUCAAUAAAUAUUGAAGAGGAUAUGAAAUUUUUUAUUUAUUUUUUUAAAAUGUUUGAUAACUUCAAUUGUUACUUUCAUGCCUCGACGUGAUUGGAAAUGUAUAAAUAUUUUCGUGUGUUUAACAAUGAGGUUUGUUAAGCCAUGUUGGUCACUAUCAUAAUUUGUAGUUUGAUACUUAAUUAAGCUAAUUGCACUUUAUGUUGCAAAAUACCUUGGGUAUAAUAACUUGAAUGGAAUUAUCCUCUUAUCUUGUGAUUACAAGUGUAGAUUGUUCAUUUGUGCCAUUUUCUGACUAAGAGAUGCUGGAUCUUACUUUUUCUUAAAUGUAAUAAUUAUUACGUUGAGCCUUGAAGAAUAGACAAUCACUUGUUAUUACGUUAAAAAUAAAAAAUAAAAAAAUUCAAGAUAAAAUGAAAUGAAUCAAAAUAUAAUUAAGUUUAUAGCGUAUUGUGCAAACACGAUUAGAAAGUGAUUUAACCUGCGUGAUUAGUGGUGAAAGAGGGAUAGGUCCCUAGAAGGAUUUUAGGGAAUAGAAAGGACAAGUGAAUUAUAGAGCUAAUUAAGAUAAGAGGAAAUUAGAGAUUUUGCCCAUUGAGAUUGAGCAUGACGAGCCACAACUGAUCCAAUAUUGAGAUAAAAAAGGAAAAACUUCCUUAGAUUACAACCCCUCACCCCACGCACCCCACCCCCACAAUAUAUAUACACACAUUUUUUGUUUGUGUCAAGACGAAUUUUACACACAUAAUUUAAGCACUCUUUUUCACAGAGUUUGAUAGUCAUAAUGUUAUCAUGAUGUGCUGAAAUAAUGGAGACACAAAAGGUAAUAACAAGUGCUACAUGUACUUAGACUUAGAUUAGCACUACUUAAUACAUACUCCUUGAAUACUAGUAUUCUCUUUGUUUCUAUUUACUUGUCACCCUUCUAAGUUGCACAUGUAGUUAAAAAAUUAUUCAAUAAAAUUAUUCUUAUUUAUUACUCAUCUUUAUUUAAUGCUUUUUUUUUUUUUUAUAAUAUACUAAUAUCUCUUCAUAUUUAUUACAAAGGAUAAAAGUAAAAAAAAAUCGAUUGUGUCUUGAGUUUAUGAAAUGACUAGUAUAAGGAACAUCUAUUUUUAGCAUGCACGACAACUAAUUAGGAAAGGUGAGAGUAUCAAUUUAUGUGACACCAUUUGACUUGACAUAAAAAUUAAGAAAGAAAUGAAAUAUCUUAAAAUUUAUGAUCUAAAACAAGUCUUAGACAUUUAAAUAACUAUAAAUCAUAUCAUUGAAGAUAAAAGAGGUAUUUUGAAAUUAAAUUCUUUUUAAUUACAGAAAGACGGCUCAGUUUCUUUUGAACGAACUGAAAAAAAAUGUAUUACAUAAAUUGAAAUAGAAAGUAUCAAAUUACCAAUAGUAUAAUUCAUAACCACCUAUGUAACUAUAGUCACCUAGUUAAAUGUUAAUAAGUUGUCAUCGAGUGAUAGGGGCGCAAAGGGAUCAAAAAAGAAAGCCACUUCAUCGGAAAAGUAUAUUGAAUAAAUAAAAUUAUUUUUUUAUAUAUAUAAUGAUGUUGAAUCUUCUUAUUUUGUUAUAUAUGUUUACUUCUUAAUAUUUAACAUCCCAUUAAUGAACAUAUUGUAUCCAAUUUUUUAAAGGCAGAGGCGUAAAACAAGACAUUUUAUCUGAUAUGAGGCGAAGCGUAAGUCUCGAGGUGUUGGGGCGUAAGCCCCCCUGGAUGCUUUAAUUUUUAAUAUUUUAUAAAAUAAUAUAAUUAGAAAUAAAAAUUUUAUAAAAAAAAAUAGUUCAUUAUUAAUCAACUCUCACCUUCUUGUAACUCGAAAUAUAUUUACGCCCCGAUAUACCAUAUAUAAUAUUUUAAAAUAGAGAAAAAGAAAUAGCUUAAAAACUCGUCUCCAUGCGACUUGAAAAGAACUAAAAAAAAAGAAAGGAACUAGGAAGAAGAAAGUAGCCUCAGUACCUUUCUUAAGAGCGGCGUGGUCGGCACCCACCGAUAAAUACAUUUGAAAGUGCGACUUUUAAGCUUUCUUUUGCUUUCGAUUUCAAUAUUUAAGUAUUUAUCAAUCAUAUAUUUUAGUAUUAAGCUUAAAUAAUUAGAGAUUUAAUAAGAAAAAAUCAUUUUACAUUGUAACUUUCUAGGCUUACGCCUAAUUUUCGUCUCACGCUCAGGAGAAUGCCUCAAAUCUCGGGGCAUUCUCCUUCCAAUACUAUUGCCUUCCCUCAAUGCCUCGGGGCAUUUUUGGCUAUGUCUCGCCCCAAGGCGAGCCUCAGGACGAACCCCGAACUGCCUUUUAAAACACUGAAUUUAUAUCCACCGUUACUAAUGACUUAUUUUACAUAUCCUCUUAUUAUGUAAAUGUGUUUAAGUAAUAUACACUAUCAAUUAUUAUAAAUAUUUUUUUUACCAUCAUGUCAUCUUUACCUAUUAUUAAAAUGAUAUAUAUUUCACCACCAAAAGAUGUGGUGCAGUGGAUGGGUUGCACUCCCUUAAUCAGAGGUAUCAGGUUUGAGUCUUGGGUACGGAAAAAUCCUUGGUAGGGAGCGCUUCCGCCCGAAUGGGGCCCUACGCGGUGCGAAUCCGGAUUAGUCGAACUCCAAUGCAGGUAC